Molecule: ribosomal RNA, 222 nt
Filed under: uncultured bacterium
Lineage: Bacteria
Description: partial 16S ribosomal RNA
Rfam family: Bacterial small subunit ribosomal RNA
Source: RNAcentral
UACGUAGGGUGCGAGCGUUAAUCGGAAUUACUGGGCGUAAAGGGUGCGUAGGCGGAUAUAUAAGUUAGAUGUGAAAUCCCCGAGCUUAACUUAGGGUAAGUGGCAUUUAAGUACUGUAUGUCUAGAGUCUGUAAGAGGGGGUAGGAAUUCCGAGUGUAGCAGUGAAAUGCGUAGAGAUUCGGAGGAACACCAGUGGCGAAGGCGGCCCCCGUCGGUAGUAAG